This 67-nucleotide small RNA is filed under the name Cytobacillus oceanisediminis. RNAcentral describes it as "Bacillaceae-1 RNA". It matches the Rfam family "Bacillaceae-1 RNA". The record is from RNAcentral. Lineage: Bacteria; Bacillati; Bacillota; Bacilli; Caryophanales; Bacillaceae.
UCAAGCGGAACGCAGACUAAAAUCGCCACGUCCUGUGGCAACGUCUGUAUGACCCGCAUCCUGCGGA